GGGGCGCGGAGUUUUGCCUGACUUGUUCCCGGCUGCCUCCCCAGUGCCUAGUAUGGUGCUUGGUACACAGUAGGUGCCCAAUCAACGUUUGCUGAACAAAUGUUCCAGUGACGGGGAAAGUUCAAGUUGCCUCUCCGCCCACUGGGGCUUCCCAGGGAGGGGUCGGAGGGCAGAGGAGCUCUGCAGUCACCUCUUCUGGGUGACAGAUGCCACCAAGGGCAGGGUACAGUUCCCAGGGUAUUUUGGCAGGAGCCACCCCCAAAGGACUGUUCCUACCCGGGCAGACUGGCAAGAAGCCCAGAGUCGAUAAAGCGAGGGAGAUAAGCAGGUUCAAGAGAAAAGAGUGAGAUAGGGCAUGCUCUGGGCAGUUCCUGCGAAUUCUCUGGGCAGGUGAAGAGGGGGGUGUUCCCUCCGCCAGGGCAGCUGGAGCUGGCAAGGGCUCCCGCUUGGGCCCAGGGGAGGCGGGGGGUGGGGACUCCUGGCCUUGCUCUCUGAGAAGCAAAGGGUACAACUGGGAGCCUCACAGACUCCAGCUCCACCACUUCUGAGCUGGGUGACUUUGGGCCCGGGUUCCUCAUCUGUAAAAUGGAGAUAAUACUAACAGCAAUGUGGUAGGGUUUGGGGAGGAUAAACAGAUCAGGCGUGUAAACCGCUUAGCUGGGGUUGGCACGUACGAAGUGUCCAGGAAUCAGGAGCAGUACCACGCAGCAGCUGUGUGACCUUGGGACCAAAGUCAACCACAGCUGGGACGGACUAGGAGCAAGUGGAGAGAGGGGAGCGACCGGCCAAAGGAAUGUGUUGGAUGGAGAGGGGAAAUCUGAGGACGCUCUCCAGAGGAGGCCCUGGCAGACACCAGACCGAGGACAAAUAGGAUGAGCCUCGAGGCCGGGGCGAUGGGCACAGACACACGAAUGGAAUACGGGCUUUGGGAAUUUGGGACUACGUCCAAGAAUGGUUCCAUCCAUCCAUCCAUCCUUCCUUCCAACCAUCCAUCCAUCCAACACACAUUCAGAGACAGCCCACAGCAUGCCAGGUCCUGCACCCAGCCUCGGGGAGACUGGGUCAAAUAAGACACGAGCCUUGCCUUUAGGUGAGCCUACUGGAGAAGGAAGAUGAAAAAAAAAACACAAAAAAAACAACCCAAAAAAUGAACCCACGGCUGGCACCACCUGUGACCUAUGAUAUCUGUGCCACAGCAGCAUCUCCCAUCUGGUGGUCCGGAGAUUCUAAGGGGUACAAGGACACAGACUUCAAAGCCGGAGUCCCACAGUGAGCUGCUGCUUCUCUUUGAUCAGUCCUUCCGAUCCUGUCAGAGAGAAAGUCUUGGCUGGGUGCUCACAGGUCUCUCACACUAGCCGGUCUCCCGAUUAUAGACACAGGGUGGGCCUUGGGCCUGGAGCCCCAGGCAAGUAAUGGGAGGUGGUUCAAAUUUAACCACAUGGAUUUACUUGUCUUGUACGUACUUGUAUGGGAUCUUUAAUUUCUGGCGAAUAUAGUGGGUUGAAUGGUGACUUUCCCCUGCCCCCCCAAAAAUAGUCCCCAUCCCCACCCCCAGCACCUGGGAAGAUGACCUUAUUUGGAAAUAGGGUCUUUGGAGAUGUAAAUGAAGUUAAGGAUCUUUAGGUGAGAUCAUUAUGGAUCAGAUGGCGUCCCAAAUCCAAUGACUGGCAUCCUUCUAAGAGAAGGGAGGUUUGACGUGGGGGACAAGGGAGGACGGACCGCGUGAAGACACAGGGAGAAUGGAGUGAGACGGCCACACGUCAGGCCCGCCAGGACCGCCAGCACCACCAGGAACCAAGAGGGAGGUGGGGAACGGAUGCUCCCUCUGAGCCCCCAGAGGACACCAGCCCACCCGACCCCUUGAUCUCAGACCUCAGGUCUUCAGAACAGUGGGAACACAUUCCUGUUGUUUUGAGCCACGCAGUUUGUGGUCCUUUGUUACGGUGGCCCUGGGAAACACAUGCAGUAAGUGGUGCUGGUUAUAAGGUCAGUCAAGAGGUGAGGAAGUGGUAAUUCAGGAGUGUUGAGGCAGGCACCAUCUGGAGGGAAAUCAGGCUGAGCCAGUGGCAUGGGGCCCCGGGAGCAGGGUGGGCUAAGGGCCACGGCGCUGAGGUUCUGGGGUGGGUGAGAUGACUGGAGAAGCAGGGAGGCCUCCUGCUGCCCCCUCUGCACACUCGAGCAAAUUCCUGGGAAGCCCCAUGUGUUCCCGUCUGGGUGAUUCAGACCCAUCUUCCUUUGGGGAGAAGCGCUUCAGAUGGGGAGGGUUUUUUCCCACCGCUCUGAAGUGCCACGAGGUGUCAGGACAGGAGGGGAAGGGGCUUUCCAGCAGGCCGUGGGCCGGGAAGCCGUCUUCCCUGAAUGCGGCACCCAAGGUCAUCGGCUGGUGGGAUGCUGCCUGCCCACCCUCACCGGCUCCUCCACUUUCCAGCUGCCGUCAGAAGAUGCAGGGCCCGGCCGGCCAGGCACCUGCACCAGGGCAGACCCCCGUAGGCCUCACCUCCCAGCGGACUCCCACCAGGCGCUAGGUGGCCCCUUCUUGCCCGAGGGCACACAGUGCUCCCCGUGAAGCCCUUGAACCUGGUGCAGGUGCUUCCCAGUCUGCCUUACAGACAGGAACCAGGGACUGGAAGAGCAAAGUGACUAGUCCCAGACCACCAAACAAACCCAAGGCCUUUCCCAGCUUUGAGCCUGGGCUGGGAAGGGGGCUGGGGAAGCUGCCACAGAGGG
Long non-coding RNA from Ailuropoda melanoleuca (giant panda), 2727 nucleotides. RefSeq lists it as uncharacterized. Lineage: Eukaryota; Metazoa; Chordata; Mammalia; Carnivora; Ursidae. The record is from RefSeq and is a predicted model, not a curated record. The transcript is spliced from 3 exons.